This 254-nucleotide ribosomal RNA is filed under the name uncultured bacterium. Its description in RNAcentral is "partial 16S ribosomal RNA". It matches the Rfam family "Bacterial small subunit ribosomal RNA", at positions 524 to 776 of the family's 1533-position model. The record is from RNAcentral.
UACGUAGGCAGCAAGCGUUGUUCGGAGUUACUGGGCGUAAAGGGUGUGUAGGCGGUUAUUUAAGUUUGGUGUGAAAUCUCCCGGCUCAACCGGGAGGGUGCGCCGAAUACUGAAUGACUUGGAGUGCGGGAGAGGAAAGUGGAAUUCCUGGUGUAGCGGUGAAAUGCGUAGAUAUCAGGAGGAACACCCGUAGCGAAGGCGGCACUCUGGGCCGAUACUGACACUGAGGAGCGAAAGCGUGGGGAGCGAACAGG